CAGUCGCCACGGUAAUACGGAGGGCGCGAGCGUUACCCGGAUUUACUGGGCGUAAAGGGCGUGUAGGCGGCCUGGGGCGUCCCAUGUGAAAGGCCACGGCUCAACCGUGGAGGAGCGUGGGAUACGCUCAGGCUAGAGGGUGGGAGAGGGUGGUGGAAUUCCCGGAGUAGCGGUGAAAUGCGCAGAUACCGGGAGGAACGCCGAUGGCGAAGGCAGCCACCUGGUCCACUUCUGACGCUGAGGCGCGAAAGCGUGGGGAGCAAACCGGAUUAGAUACCCGCGUAGUCCCUGUCUCUUAUAA
RNAcentral lists this ribosomal RNA (301 nucleotides) under uncultured bacterium. Its description in RNAcentral is "partial 16S ribosomal RNA". It matches the Rfam family "Bacterial small subunit ribosomal RNA", at positions 509 to 809 of the family's 1533-position model. The record is from RNAcentral.